UACGAAGGGGGCUAGCGUUGCUCGGAAUUACUGGGCGUAAAGCGCACGUAGGCGGCUUUCUAAGUCAGGGGUGAAAUCCUGGAGCUCAACUCCAGAACUGCCUUUGAUACUGGAAAGCUUGAGUUCGGGAGAGGUGAGUGGAACUGCGAGUGUAGAGGUGAAAUUCGUAGAUAUUCGCAAGAACACCAGUGGCGAAGGCGGCUCACUGGACUGGUAUUGACGCUGAGGUGCGAAAGCGUGGGGAGCAAACAGG
RNAcentral lists this ribosomal RNA (253 nucleotides) under uncultured bacterium. Its description in RNAcentral is "partial 16S ribosomal RNA". It matches the Rfam family "Bacterial small subunit ribosomal RNA", at positions 524 to 776 of the family's 1533-position model. The record is from RNAcentral.